Molecule: ribosomal RNA, 477 nt
Filed under: Triticum aestivum (bread wheat)
Lineage: Eukaryota; Viridiplantae; Streptophyta; Magnoliopsida; Poales; Poaceae
Description: partial small subunit ribosomal RNA
Source: RNAcentral
AUGAGAAUACCACGACAGUUGGCGCCCACCGUGGUGCGGUACUAUGCUACCGCGCUGCUGCUGGUUUCGCAGUCCGGGCGGGACCAUCUUUGUCAUCUCCGCCACGACGUCGCCUUCGUCUCUCCGGUAGCGCUCGGGGGCUCGACAUCGACACGCCGCCGGAGCGGCCGCGAGGGGCGGCGCGUCCUUGCUGCCGGCGUCGCCAUCUUCAUCAUCACCGCGACGUUGCCACCUCUCCGGCGCCGGUCGAGGGCUCGACAUCAGCACGCCCUCGGCGCGUUCGUGAGGGGUGGUGCGUCUUCGUCAUCACCACCGCAACGCCGGCGGUCCGUUUGCGCGCGCCGCACGCGGGGCCUUGCUUUGGUCGGCCGUGUCGGUCCACAUGCCGCUCACGUCUGCUCCCCUCCGCGUUGUGCCUUGCUCCGCCGAAGCAUGCAUUUUCCACUCCAUACCAUCUACAAGCUAGCUAGAUGCUAG